Molecule: long non-coding RNA, 865 nt
Filed under: Rattus norvegicus (Norway rat)
Lineage: Eukaryota; Metazoa; Chordata; Mammalia; Rodentia; Muridae
Description: long non-coding RNA NONRATT029875
Source: RNAcentral
GCCGGCGGCCGCGUUGAGCUGUGCGGCGCGGGCCGGGCGAGCUGCCGCCUGCGCCCGAAGCGAGCGGAGCGCGGCCAUGCCCGGGCCCCUAGCGCGCUGCCGCAGCCCGCGCCCGGCGCCGCCUUCUUCAAUGGGCAACCUGCUCGGCGGGGUCCAGCUUUCGCGGAGCCCACCACCUGGGAGGAUUGGGCUUCCACUUGGCAGACCGACUUGGAGGCCCGAGCCUGAGCAGCCGGGGCCGGCAGGCGGUGGCGAGGGCCAGGAGCAGGACGAGCGGGAGCAGCCCGAGCAGCCUCCCGAGAGAGCCGGAGGGCGACCCCGCGCCAGUCCGGUGCCCGAGGACCACGCGGAGGCGGCGGGCGCGGAGCAGGUACGCGGCCCCCGGACCCACAGUGGGCCCGGAGGGGCAGUUCGCCCAGUACGAGGGAGGGGACUGUGCGCGGCCCCCCGGGGGGUGCAGGGCGGGAUGCUCGGCGUUCGUGGCGCCGGUACCUGGGGGAGCCUGCGGUGUUCAGGAUCGCCCGGUGGUUCGCUGCUGGCCCGGGGGCCUUGCUGUGAGCACCGCAGGGAAGUCCCCCAAGGCAAACCUCGACUCCACUCUUGUUCUCUCUGCCUCUGCAGCGCAGCUGGGUGAUGCGAAGGUGGGGUGGGAGGAACUAGACUAAAAAUAGAAGAUUCUGAGGACCCGGCCGGUGCGUGUUAAUUGAUUUUUAUUUUCAUCUUUUUUUUUACAAAAUUAAAAUAUUAUUCAGAUUAAGACAACUGCAGUUGUGGAGCGGCCCCGCAAGCCUCCCCUGCCCCCCAAGCGGGGGUCUAUGACCAUUAAAAGUAUCGCAGAAGGUUCCCAAGCAAACUUAAAAAUAAC